This 2221-nucleotide long non-coding RNA is filed under the name Daucus carota (carrot). RNAcentral's name for it is "long non-coding RNA (DCAR_LNC006082)". The record is from RNAcentral. Lineage: Eukaryota; Viridiplantae; Streptophyta; Magnoliopsida; Apiales; Apiaceae.
GCAGCAUUUUUUAUAAGAAGAACUUGUGCAUCAAUAGAAGAAUUUCUGGAAUGCAUCCUACCACGAGCAUUGAUUAACCUUUAGGAUUAAACAAAGCAGGACGAGGCUCAUAACUAAACCAAGACAUUUAACAUAAUAUUCCAAGACAGUUAUGAUGGAGAAGUAGUGCUGAGAAGCAGCAUGGCACGGUAAAAAUUAUUUUUGAUAAUGGGGUUCAGUGCUUGGACAACGUUACAGAUGUAUGCAACAUGCGAGUAGUAAGCCAUGAAUUAAACUGAUGGAUGAUGAUGUUACCAUCACAGUCAAUGGACUGAUGAGUUUGUUUAGCAAAACUUGAUCUGUAGUUUGAUGUGCCUUGAAGGGAAGCGAUGUACAAGACUACAGAUCCAGGAUUGAUUGUUUGCUAAGAUACCAUCCCCUAGAUGUCAUCACCCACCUCUAGAUCCAGGAUCGAUUAUUUGAUUAUUUGCUAAUGCUGCACUAGCCAAUUUGGAGGUGAGGUUGUUAGACAACUCUGCUGCCAGGAAUGGAGUUGUUGCUAGGCUGCUAGCAACCGCAAAUUGGACUUGGCAGUUUGCAAUGCAGCAAGACUGCUCUUUGUGAAGGAUCCUGAUAAUGGGGUUGAAUGAGGACUUGGUGGCAUGAUUCUAUUCUUCAAAUCAAGUCCCGGUCUGCUACUUGUUUCUGUGCUCUGCAGGGACAUGAAUUCCUCCUGUUUGUUACACAAGUUGUUUUGAGGUGAUAAACUGUGAUUUUAAUACUGUGAAUGUUACAAAUUAUAAUACUCUGCACUUGUAAACUUGUUUUACAAGUUGUUUUUAUUUUCAAACGAACUCAUCCAACCUCCACCCAGUGGCUACAAGGGGAUUACAAAAGAAAAAAAGAAUUAAAAGAUACCCUGUGAUCCGUCAAAAAAAAAAAAAGAUACCCUGUUCUAUUGUGUUAAAUUAAUGGUCUUCACAAUAUUCUACUUUCUUUAGUUGAUCAUUUUUGUGAAUUCUAGGAGGAUGCAUAAAUAGGGAUGGCAAAAUAAUCCGAUCCGACGGAUACCCGAUCCGAAACCCGAAUUUUUGGAUAUACCGAACCCGAAUUUUUGGAUUUGGAUUUGGAUAUGGAUUUGAUUUUUGUACCCGAAAUUUUUUGGAUUUGGAUAUGGAUAUGACCUCUACCGAUCCGAAACCCGAUCCGAAACCCGAAAUCCUAUCCGAACCCGAUCCGAACCCGAAACCCGAAAAAAACCCGAAUAUUAUAUAUAUAUUAUAAAUAAUUUAAUAUGAAUGUGUGUGUGUGUUCCAGAGAUUCAGUGUUGUGGAUAAGAAUGUUGUUUGUGUUAUUUGUAUAGUUGCCACCUCUAGUUUCCUUCCCCAUGAGAUGACCAGUAAUUACUACUACUAGUCUACUACUACAUAUCUUAAUGUCUUGUGUCGCUUGAGAGAUCUUUGUAUUAAUAUAUUGUUCUUUAUCUAUGUCAGAUUUAUUCAUCUCUUUUAUCUUCAGCCUUAAAGAACCGUGAUUGAGGGCUAAUAUUUGGCAUCUAUUUCAGGAGUUACUUUCUUUAUGUGCAAGCUUAAACCUUGAGGACGGAAGCUCAUCAAUGUGUUGAAAAGGUUUCCUUUAGUUUUCAAUUUUCAGGAAUCUACAUCUAACCUCUCUUGUCAAAAAAAAUUGUACAUGAUCAGUAAGGAAAUUGGAGCUCUGGGAUAUUACAUGCUUGGUGUCAAUUUUGUGAAUUGCAAAUUUGCAUUGAUCAAUUGUGUAAAAGACUACCCUGUGAAGCUUAGCAACCAUAUUUUAAAGUUGGUACGAGCAGACAGCAGUAGAACCUCUGGCAUUGUACAGAGCAGUUGUAAGUAAAGCAAGUUAAUGCUAAUUACAUAUACUAGCACCUUAAUGACAUUGCAUCAUAACUCUUAUGUGCUGAGUUCACUUUAGUACUUAUCUGUUCAAGAAUAUACAUGGUAAAUAAUUUAGUUCAUGGAUCUUGAAACCACAUUCUUUUGCAGCAUUUUUUAUAAGAAGAACUUGUGCAUCAAUAGAAGAAUUUCUGGAAUGCAUCCUACCACGAGCAUUGAUUAACCUUUAGGAUUAAACAAAGCAGGACGAGGCUCAUAACUAAACCAAGACAUUUAACAUAAUAUUCCAAGACAGUUAUGAUGGAGAAGUAGUGCUGAGAAGCAGCAUGGCACGGUAAAAAUUAUUUUUGAUAAUGGGGUUCAGUGCU